RNAcentral lists this unclassified non-coding RNA (331 nucleotides) under soil metagenome. Its description in RNAcentral is "partial contains 5.8S ribosomal RNA, internal transcribed spacer 2, and large subunit ribosomal RNA". The stretch from base 1 to 120 matches the Rfam family "5.8S ribosomal RNA", at positions 35 to 154 of the family's 154-position model. The record is from RNAcentral.
GAUGAAGAACGUAGCGAAAUGCGAUAAGUAGUGUGAAUUGCAGAAUUCAGUGAAUCAUCGAAUCUUUGAACGCACAUUGCGCCCUUUGGUAUUCCUUAGGGCAUGCCUGUUCGAGCGUCAUUUAAACCUUCAAGCUAAGCUUGGUGUUGGGUGACUGUCCGCUUCACGGCGGACUCGCCUCAAAAUUAUUGGCGGCCGGUACAUUGGCUUCGAGCGCAGCAGAAACGCGAACUCGGGCCCGUCGUAUUGGCUCCCAGAAGCUAUCUUCACAAUUUUGACCUCGGAUCAGGUAGGAUACCCGCUGAACUUAAGCAUAUCAAUAAGCGGAGGA